GACGAACGCUGGCGGCGUGCUUAACACAUGCAAGUCGAGCGGUAAGGCCCUUUCGGGGUACACGAGCGGCGAACGGGUGAGUAACACGUGGGUGACCUGCCCUCAGCUCUGGGAUAAGCCUGGGAAACCGGGUCUAAUACUGGAUAUGACUCCAUGACGCAUGUUGUGGGGUGGAAAGCCUUGUGCGGCUGAGGAUGGGCCCGCGGCCUAUCAGCUUGUUGGUGGGGUGAUGGCCUACCAAGGCGACGACGGGUAGCCGGCCUGAGAGGGCGACCGGCCACACUGGGACUGAGACACGGCCCAGACUCCUACGGGAGGCAGCAGUGGGGAAUCUUGCGCAAUGGGCGAAAGCCUGACGCAGCGACGCCGCGUGAGGGAUGACGGCCUGGUGUAACU
RNAcentral lists this ribosomal RNA (396 nucleotides) under uncultured bacterium. RNAcentral's name for it is "bacterial SSU rRNA". It matches the Rfam family "Bacterial small subunit ribosomal RNA", at positions 28 to 430 of the family's 1533-position model. The record is from RNAcentral.